GCCCGAGUGGCGGAAUGGCAGACGCACCGCACUCAAAAUGCGGCGUCCUCUGGACGUGUGAGUUCGACUCUCACCUCGGGCACCA
This 85-nucleotide transfer RNA is filed under the name Syntrophomonadaceae bacterium. Its description in RNAcentral is "tRNA-Leu". It matches the Rfam family "tRNA". From Rfam's summary of the family: Transfer RNA (tRNA) molecules are approximately 80 nucleotides in length. Their secondary structure includes four short double-helical elements and three loops (D, anti-codon, and T loops). Further hydrogen bonds mediate the characteristic L-shaped molecular structure. tRNAs have two regions of fundamental functional importance: the anti-codon, which is responsible for specific mRNA codon recognition, and the 3' end, to which the tRNAs corresponding amino acid is attached (by aminoacyl-tRNA synthetases). tRNAs cope with the degeneracy of the genetic code in two manners: having more than one tRNA (with a specific anti-codon) for a particular amino acid; and 'wobble' base-pairing, i.e. permitting non-standard base-pairing at the 3rd anti-codon position. The record is from RNAcentral. Lineage: Bacteria; Bacillati; Bacillota; Clostridia; Eubacteriales; Syntrophomonadaceae.